CGCUAGCGACAGGCCUAACACAUGCAAGUCGAGGGGCAGCACAAGGAGUAAUCUGAGGUGGCGACCGGCGCACGGGUGAGUAACACGUAUGCAACCUGCCUGUAAGCGGGGAAUAACCCGUUGAAAGACGGACUAAUACCGCAUAAUACUAAAUUACUGCAUGGUAAUUUAUUUAAACAUUUAUGGCUUACAGAUGGGCAUGCGCAUGAUUAGCUAGUUGGAGAGGUAACGGCUCCCCAAGGCAACGAUCAUUAGGGGUUCUGAGAGGAAGGUCCCCCACACUGGUACUGAGACACGGACCAGACUCCUACGGGAGGCAGCAGUGAGGAAUAUUGGUCAAUGGACGAGAGUCUGAACCAGCCAAGUCGCGUGCAGGAAGAAUGUCCCUAUGGAUUGUAAACUGCUUUUGCAGGGGAAUAAAGUGCAUCACGUGUGAUGUUUUGUAUGUACUCUGCGAAUAAGGAUCGGCUAACUCCGUGCCAGCCGCGGC
RNAcentral lists this ribosomal RNA (490 nucleotides) under uncultured bacterium. Its description in RNAcentral is "bacterial SSU rRNA". It matches the Rfam family "Bacterial small subunit ribosomal RNA", at positions 34 to 518 of the family's 1533-position model. The record is from RNAcentral.